CGCCCGAGGCGGACCAGGCUGGCUGCGCAGGGCCGCCGCCCCGCGCCGUCGGCUCGGCUCCCGCCCGGCGCAAGGGCAAACGAGCCACACGGGUGUUGGUGCCAGAAGAAAAGAAUGAUUGAUGGGAAACAGACACCGGGCUAUAGACACUCAUCCUUUUGCUUCAGACACUGAUAUCUCAGCCUGCCUGAGCAUCCCUUGUGAGCUGUGAACAUUGAGGAUCACUCAGGGUUAUCGGAUGUACAACGGGAGAGCCAUCACUUUGCUAAAUUAUUAUCUGCAGUUGGACAUCUUUUACAAAAACCAAACUAGACCUGAGUCUAAUAGAUAUGUUCUAAGACAAAGAAAAAGCUGCAAGUUGUUAACGCCUAACACACAAGUAUGUUAGGCUUCCACCAAAGUCCUCAAUAUACCUGAAUACGCACAAUAUCUUAACUCUUCAUAUUUGGUUUUGGGAUCUGCUUUGAGGUCCCAUCUUCAUUUAAAAAAAAAUUACACAGACCUACCUACCCAUACGCAUACAUACAUAUGUGUAUAUAUAUGUAAACUAGACAAAGAUCGCAGAUCAUAAAGCAAGCUCUGCUUUAGCUUCCAAGAAGAUUACAAAGAAUUUAGAGAUGUAUUUGUCAAGAUUCCUGUCGAUUCAUGCCCUUUGGGUUACGGUGUCCUCAGUGAUGCAGCCCUACCCUUUGGUUUGGGGACAUUAUGAUCUGUGUAAGACUCAGAUUUACACGGAAGAAGGGAAAGUUUGGGAUUACAUGGCCUGCCAGCCGGAAUCCACGGACAUGACAAAAUAUCUGAAAGUGAAACUCGAUCCUCCGGAUAUUACCU
Molecule: small RNA, 831 nt
Filed under: Pan troglodytes (chimpanzee)
Lineage: Eukaryota; Metazoa; Chordata; Mammalia; Primates; Hominidae
Description: processed transcript
Source: RNAcentral